AUCCCCAUUGUAUUGGUGAGUGAGCCAACGCAGUUCAGCGGAACAACCAAAAUACAGAGACUGAAGCUUUUGGUCUAAUUUUUACUAUGUAAUAUAACUUCAUGCAGUGAGGAAUGGUGUAUUCUAGUCAUGUUACAUUAGACUGUCAAUAAUUGCAAUUGCCAUGGCCUGAUUUUGAUUGGCUAAUGAGCUUUCAUACCAUGGUAGUUACCAUUAAUAGUAGAUUUCAUCAUGCCAUGCAUGUAGGUCUGGGGAGCGUUUCAUCAACAUCUAGAUCUGACAACCUUCCUUGAUGUUGAUUGGCUGAGAAAUAAUGUUGCUAUUGUAUCUGUAGGAUAAAAUGGGACUUGUCGGAUAAUAAAAUCUGACAAAUCCUUUCAUGAAAUGCUCCCCUUGGGUUCUUGUGGGAAAUUGGGAAAGAGCAUUAUGUAAAUCUUGUGGAGUUUUUUUUUCUCAGAGGCUUGAAAAUACAUGUAAUAUUUUCCAGUUGCAUUUUAAAGAAUAUUUCAAUUGCAUACAUUGAGGUUGAAGUCAUCUGAUAAUAGUGAGUUUUCGAUUUGCACUCCACUAGUCGACUUACAAAUCGAAAACUCCCUAUUGAUAAUGAUGAAUGUGAACUUGUUAAAAUAUUAUUUCCUUGUUUAACACCUUGUGGAUAAUUCAUUUAUAUAUAUAUACUGGUUUAUAUUAUUGGUUUUAACUUCUCUAUAGUAUCAUGUAUCAAGGUAUUUUAGGAACAGAUUAUGGUGUAAUAUUGAAUGUCUUUUUAGAUACUACUAACUAACUUUUUAAUAAGAAUAAUCAUAUUCUUUUUUUUUGUAUUAUACCUAAAACAUUGGAAAAGGGUCUCUCAACGCUCCUCAGAGUCUGGAUUAUCAUAACAACAUCCAUCGAAUGACUGGUUAUGGUGGUACUAAUUAGUUUUUCAUUAUUGUUUUUAUACCAAAAAUACAUGUAAUUCACUGCAACAACUUACAAAACAUGCAAAACUGGGUAAGGGUUUGAAUAAAUUAUAAGGGAAUUUUUAAACCUCAUCAGGGAAAAAUCAGGGAAUUUUGUUUUCUUGAAAAGCUGUGAACCCUGUACGUAUCAUUCUCUUUUAAGAGAUUUAUAAGUGUGCAUAUUAAUUUGCUUUUGGGAAUAACUCCAUUACGUUGCAGUAUAUCAGUAAGUUUUAAGUUAAAAAACUCUUUUUAAUUUGAUAAUUUUAUGGUGCAUUUACCAUGCCACUGAGCACUUUUCAGCAGUUUAAUAUUCUUCUUAAUGUGAAUUUGUUUGUAUUGUUAUUCUUUAAUAUACAGUGAAGUCAUUUUCUUGUUGAGUUUUCCAUGUUUCUUAAUGUAAAAGCAAUUUAAAUGCCUCACAAUCGAUUUUAUGAAUUUUUGUAAACAGAAGUAGUAAUUUUCCUUUUUUUUUAAUUCCAUUACCUUUUAACAUAACAAGUUUGAACAAAAUAGUUUGGCUUGAGUGUUUCUCCAUUCAUUUGCAGGAUGACUUGAUAACAUAUAAUCAUUCAAGAUGCAUGAUUAAGUAUAUGUUGUCAGAGACAAAUUAUCAUUUUUCAAAACUAACUUGGACUUUUAUUAUGCCAAUAUAAGUUUACAACAGCAUGUUAUGCCUUAUUCAUAAAAUAUGUUCAACUGAUAAUGAAAUGGUUAAGCCUUGGUUGCUUGUGUGUUGGUCCGUUUUGUUAAUAACUAUUGACUCAAAAUUUUUAUGUAAAUUUAAUGGAUUAUACAAAUUGAGAAAUUACACAUCUUGCUUACACAAAAUAUUUCAUAAAUCUGCUUCUAGACUUGUUUUAUUGUUUCGGUGAUCAGGAAUUUUUACAAAUUUUACAGUAAAUUGUAUAGUUGCCAAAAAAUUAUAUACCUAAGCAAAAUCUUGUUCAUUCUCCAGAGAAAUGAUUUAAACCCCAUAGCUUAUCAUGUAAUUAGAAUGGAUAACCUUUAUUUAUACUGAUUCUUGAAAAUGGACUCUGUAAAACUCUGUAAAAUAUCAGAAAUCUCUGGAUGAAAAAAAAUUCUAUUUGAAGAAGUGGAAAUUGUAUUCAAACUUUGACAGAAUUGGUGUACCUGAGGAUGAAUUCUAAAUUUGAUAUCCUUGUUGAAUGAAAGGUGAAACUCAAAUAUCUUUAAAAAAAUAAGUGUGUGGUGUAAAUAUGAGAUUAAUUAUUAUUAACCGUAUCAGACAUCUGAGCAGGGCAACUUCAAUACAUUAUUGUCUGCUUAAGACUGGGAUCAGUGGUCGGUCAAUAAGUUUGCACUUGUUUAACCACGGACAAUUUUAUUGCCCUCUAAGGAAAGUCUAUGAGAAAUUGCAUGGAAAUGUACCGGGGAAUAAGACAGAGCUAACCUGCGGGUAUUCUUUGCGUUUCUGCAUGCGUCCUUAAACCGCGCAGUGCUGUACGUCACAAUGUUAAUCAAGUUGAGACAACGCUGGAUACUGCCUCCCCAGGCCAGGGACAUGUCAUUUCAUUUAUGUCACAAUGGUUCAGAGGCUCAGUCUGCUCAACAUGACAAAAUAGAUUCCCAUUUUUAAACACUAAAAUUUCUAAAUUUAACAAUUUUUGCUCUAGAUAUCUGAUUUGGUUAAUAAUAUUGACUAGCCUGGGGGCAGAAGGACAUAUAUCGCCCUCACUAAAUUGGUAUCACCCUCGUCUACGACUUGGGCGAUAUAAAUCUAGUUUGGGCUUUAUAUAUGUCGUAUUGCCCCGAGGCCAGUCAAUAUUACUUUAUUAUCACAUAAAUAGCUUGUGAGCUAUUGUGAUUAAGUGCCAAUUUUGAUUAUUAUAUUUUAAAUUUACAUUGCGAAAUUCACAUCAAGUCAUUGGGUACCUAUGUGUUAUUAGCACUUGUAAUUUACAUUGUUUCCAAUAUGAUAAGAAUAUGCGAUUCCUAUUUGUUCAUCUAAAUGAGUAGUAAUAAUGUAUGUAAACAUGUUGGGUGUUAUUCGGGAGCAUUAAAUUUAUAAGCAUUAUUAUACAUAUUGUGGUCAUAAUAGUAAUUAUUAAGUUUGUCUUUAUUUCCUAUACUCAGAAAUCUCUCCCUUUCACUACUCUCAUUUCCACUCCCCUCACUUCCACUCCCUCCCAUUCUACUUACGUGCUAAAAAAAGUGCCAUACAAACACAUAGCAGAAUCUGAGAAAGAAAUAGAUCUGUAUUGACAAUAACAAAAGUUUACAUUAGUUUCCAAUUAUAUACAUUUAUACACGCAGAAACACCUUGAUAUAGUAAAGAUUUAGAAUAGAUAGUACACAAACUCCGACAAAAAUUAUAUCUCUUCAGUCACCUUUGGGGCAGAGGCAAAUUGAAUCAUUGAAACAUGCGUUUCUCACAUUAAAAUUGACAGUACUCAAAUUACUCAAAUAAAAAUGCAUAUGGGGGAUCAUCAAAAAAGAAAUUGGAAUACAACUACCACAUUGAUAUUAACCAAAUACAACUUUGACGAUAGUAACGUUUAUUUUCCCUAUUGCAUAAA
Lytechinus variegatus (green sea urchin) is the source of this 3481-nucleotide long non-coding RNA. RefSeq lists it as uncharacterized. Lineage: Eukaryota; Metazoa; Echinodermata; Echinoidea; Temnopleuroida; Toxopneustidae. The record is from RefSeq and is a predicted model, not a curated record. The transcript has 2 exons.